Molecule: ribosomal RNA, 342 nt
Filed under: uncultured bacterium
Lineage: Bacteria
Description: bacterial SSU rRNA
Rfam family: Bacterial small subunit ribosomal RNA
Source: RNAcentral
AGCGACCUGCCCCUCCGCGGGGGAUAGCCGGCCCAACGGCCGGGUAAUACCGCAUACGGUCCAGCCGGGGCAUCCCGGGUGGAGGAAACCUCCGGGGCGGAGGGAGGGGCUCGCGGCCUAUCAGCUCGUUGGCGGGGUGACGGCCCACCAAGGCGACGACGGGUAGCUGGUCUGAGAGGAUGGCCAGCCACAUUGGGACUGAGAGACGGCCCAGACUCCUACGGGAGGCAGCAGUGGGGAAUCUUGCGCAAUGGCCUGACGGCUGACGCAGCGACGCCGCGUGUGGGAGGACGCCCCUCGGGGUGUAAACCACUGUUGCCCGGGACGAACCCGGAGUUUCGA